Molecule: long non-coding RNA, 482 nt
Organism: Solea solea (common sole)
Lineage: Eukaryota; Metazoa; Chordata; Actinopteri; Pleuronectiformes; Soleidae
Exons: 3
Source: RefSeq, a predicted model, not a curated record
ACAACAGUCGAGACCUGCUGGAGUUCAAACCAACAAGCAUCAUUAUGGACAAUAAAAGUGAUUUAAGUGACUUUGAAUGUGGCACCAUGUAUGUGCAGCUGAUGUUAUAACAUCAAUAAGGACCUACACAUAUGGAGAAAGUUUCCAGGAGCUUUUUGAAUAAAUGCCGCGAAGCAUUAAGGCAAAAAGGAGGUCUAAACCGGUGUUAACAAGGUGUACCCGCUAAAGUGGUCGACAAUCUCUGGUCCCUGAGCGCGUUGUCGUUUCCCCUCGGGCCCGUUAUCAGAUCCCCUCUGUAGGCUCCCAGCAGCUGCAGUUAUUGUGGAAGACUCUGGUUUUAUGGCCUCAUGAUGUCUGCGACAACACCGGCUUUUAUGACUGAGUACAUGCUCUCCUGUGGUCGUUGGCACUCGUCCUUCUGGCAUCCUUACAAAUUAUGACAAAAAGAGAUGAACCUGCAGGUCAGUCUCACACAGUCUGCC